Molecule: ribosomal RNA, 254 nt
Filed under: uncultured bacterium
Lineage: Bacteria
Description: partial 16S ribosomal RNA
Rfam family: Bacterial small subunit ribosomal RNA
Source: RNAcentral
UACGGGGGGGGCAAGCGUUGUUCGGAAUUACUGGGCGUAAAGGGCGCGUAGGCGGCCUGCUAAGUCGGACGUGAAAUCCCUCGGCUCAACCGGGGAACUGCGUCCGAUACUGGCGAGGCUUGAAUCCGGGAGAGGGAUGUGGAAUUCCAGGUGUAGCGGUGAAAUGCGUAGAUAUCUGGAGGAGCACCAGUGGCGAAGGCGGCAUCCUGGACCGGCAUUGACGCUGAGGCGCGAAAGCUAGGGUAGCAAACGGG